This 467-nucleotide ribosomal RNA is filed under the name uncultured bacterium. RNAcentral's name for it is "partial 16S ribosomal RNA". It matches the Rfam family "Bacterial small subunit ribosomal RNA", at positions 28 to 507 of the family's 1533-position model. The record is from RNAcentral.
GAUGAACGCUGGCGGCGUGCUUAACACAUGCAAGUCGAACGGAAAGGCCAGUGCUUGCACUGGUGCUCGAGUGGCGAACGGGUGAGUAACACGUGGGUGAUCUGCCCUGCACUUUGGGAUAAGCCUGGGAAACUGGGUCUAAUACCAGAUAGGACCAUGCUUUGGAUGGUGUGGUGGAAAGUUUUUUCGGUGUGGGAUGAGCUUGCGACCUAUCAGCUUGUUGGUGGGGUAAUGGCCUACCAAGGCGUCGACGGGUAGCCGGCCUGAGAGGGUGUACGGCCACAUUGGGACUGAGAUACGGCCCAGACUCCUACGGGAGGCAGCAGUGGGGAAUAUUGCACAAUGGGCGCAAGCCUGAUGCAGCGACGCCGCGUGGGGGAUGACGGCCUUCGGGUUGUAAACUCCUUUCGCAACUGACGAAGCUUUUUGUGACGGUAGGUUGAGAAGAAGCACCGGCUAACUACGUG